RNAcentral lists this ribosomal RNA (253 nucleotides) under uncultured bacterium. Its description in RNAcentral is "partial 16S ribosomal RNA". It matches the Rfam family "Bacterial small subunit ribosomal RNA", at positions 524 to 776 of the family's 1533-position model. The record is from RNAcentral.
UACGAAGGGGGCUAGCGUUGCUCGGAUUUACUGGGCGUAAAGGGCGCGUAGGCGGACAGUUAAGUCGGGGGUGAAAGCCCGGGGCUCAACCUCGGAAUUGCCUUCGAUACUGGCUGUCUUGAGUACGGGAGAGGUGUGUGGAACUCCGAGUGUAGAGGUGAAAUGCGUAGAUAUCGGAAGGAACACCAGUGGCGAAGGCGGCUACCUGGACUGAUACUGACACUGAGGCGCGAGAGCGUGGGUAGCAAACAGG